Molecule: long non-coding RNA, 1649 nt
Organism: Dermochelys coriacea (leatherback sea turtle)
Lineage: Eukaryota; Metazoa; Chordata; Testudines; Dermochelyidae
Exons: 2
Source: RefSeq, a predicted model, not a curated record
GAUCUGCUGUAUGCAGAGAGACUCUCCUUCGCUCCCAGGCAGGUGGUUUAGGCAGUAAGAGAGACCUGCAGGGAAUCCAGACUUAAUCAGGGGAGAAAUCCUCCAUACAAGUCAGAAAGAAAGGCCUGGCUGGACCUACCUGCAAUGAGGUCCAGGGGAAAAACCUUUAAGAAGGGUGUAAUGGAUUGGUGAGCUGAGGAGGGGUAUAAUGGACUGGCGAAUCUCCAGGAUACAGCUGAAAACAUCAAGCCUUGGGUUGAGCUGUUGUUUUAUAUGAAUAACCCCCUUCCCAGAAGGGGAGAGUAAUGCCAAAGCACUGGAUGUUGUUUGGGUUCUUUUUGGCUGUGGAAGUGGGGAAACUGAGGCAGCAUCUGGCUCCAAUUCAGCAGGAGAUCUGCAAACUGAGGCAGAAAUGAUAAAUGACUUGCCCAAGGUCGCAGAAGUUGAGAGGUCAGUGUCAAGAUAAGAAGUUGGAAGAAGGACUGCUAGCUGGAGACUUCUCAGACUGAUAAACACAACCUUCUGAAGCAUAGUGAAAGAUAGGGGGGUGUGCUUAUGGUGGUGAUCUGGACCAACACCUGCUCCCACUUAUCCUGGUGUAAAUCUGGAGUAACUCCAUUGGUUUGAACAGAUAUAAUGGAGAGCAGGAUUGGGCACAUUGAGUCUGUAUCCUUUGCAAAAAAGACAAAACAGAAGCUUACAGUAAAAGCUUAUUAGCGCUGUAACAAUUCACAUGCAAAACCUGUCUGAGUUCAGGGUCAUACAGUCUUUUCAAAGGCUGUCAUUCAGACAUUUUUCAAAACGAAUCUGUCUAAUCCACUCUAUCUAAUUUACCUAAUCCAACUAGCUACUUCCCUGAUGUUGUUUGAGCAUCACAUGCUCAGAUCCUUGUUGUGUCAGCCUCAUUUUAAAAUGUUCUAGUGCCCCAGGAAGGGGAGCAGGCAGGUAUAUUUUCUAUCUUCCUACCGCAGAGCAGCCAGCGUACAUGAACUAGCUACCCUUUGCAUAAGUGGCUUAGCUGAACGUUUGCUGGGUGAAAUUCACCCUUCUGCAGAGGACCAGCAUAAAGUCCCUGCCCUUCUUAAGACCUCAAGAUAGGAAUUAAGUAGGAUUUAAGCCUUGUGACAGGCUUCUGCAGAGUGCCAAUUUUCACCCUUUGAGUGGUACUUUUGCUCCUAACGCCAUCCCGGUGAAAUGAAUGGAACUGCUUAGUGAGCAAGGUGCUACUCACCAUGAGCAAGGAUGGCAGACUCUGUCCCUUAGUUUGCUUUGCUUAAUCUCUUGGUGCAUUGAUUGCUGCAGGCUGUGAUAGCCAAUGGCAAGAAAACAGUGACAACCUCUACGCCAAUCCUGGAAAGCCCUGCUUGUAAGGUACUGCUGUUGAGAUCUGCUGGAGUUCUAAAUGUGACAUUCUUGCAGGAUCAUACCCUUUGUUAGUAAAGGACUCCAGUUUUAUUUGAACCUUUGGUAGUAGGAGAGGAGGUAGAAUUUUCUGUGCCAGGGAAUGGACUUGGGUGAAAGUCGGGAAAAUAUGGUUAGGUUGGGCAGAGGAAAGACAUAUGGAAGAUGGUCUGUGGAGGCUCUCCAGGUUUCAGAUGAAGAAUUCAGACUCCUGGUAAUUAUCCAAAAUAAACUUCUGAAACUCUUAA